UACAUUUAUAAGCUUUUUCUCCAGUAUGAAUUCUCCAAUGAUAUGCAAGAUGUGAAUUUUGACUGAAUGCUUUGUCACAUUCAUCACACUUAUAAGGUUUCUCACCGGCAUGAAUUAUCAGAUGUUGGGCAAGGUAUGAAUUGCGACUGAAGACCUUGCCACAUUCAUUACAUUUGUAAGGUUUCUCUCCAGUGUGGAUUCUCUGAUGUUGUGCAAGGUGUGAAAUAUGAUGGAAGACCUUUCCACAUACAUUACAUCUGUAAGGUUUCUCUCCAGUAUGAAUGAUCAGAUGUUGUACAAGGUGUGAAAUUUGAUGGAAGACCUUUCCACAUUCAUUACAUUUAUAAGGUUUCUCUCCGGUAUGAAUUCUUUGAUGUUGUGCAAGGUGUGAAAUUUGAUUA
Molecule: long non-coding RNA, 401 nt
Filed under: Homo sapiens (human)
Lineage: Eukaryota; Metazoa; Chordata; Mammalia; Primates; Hominidae
Description: HSALNT0261942
Source: RNAcentral